UACGGGGGGGGCAAGCGUUGUUCGGAAUUACUGGGCGUAAAGGGCUCGUAGGCGGCCAACUAAGUCAGACGUGAAAUCCCUCGGCUUAACCGGGGAACUGCGUCUGAUACUGGAUGGCUUGAAUUCGGGAGAGGGAUGCGGAAUUCCAGGUGUAGCGGUGAAAUGCGUAGAUAUCUGGAGGAACACCGGUGGCGAAGGCGGCAUCCUGGACCGACAUUGACGCUGAGGAGCGAAAGCCAGGGGAGCAAACGGG
This 253-nucleotide ribosomal RNA is filed under the name uncultured bacterium. Its description in RNAcentral is "partial 16S ribosomal RNA". It matches the Rfam family "Bacterial small subunit ribosomal RNA", at positions 524 to 776 of the family's 1533-position model. The record is from RNAcentral.